UACGAAGGGGGCUAGCGUUGCUCGGAAUGACUGGGCGUAAAGGGCGCGUAGGCGGAUUGUACAGUCAGGCGUGAAAUUCCCGGGCUCAACCUGGGGGCUGCGCUUGAGACGUGCGAUCUUGAGUGGGGAAGAGGGUCGUGGAAUUCCCAGUGUAGAGGUGAAAUUCGUAGAUAUUGGGAAGAACACCGGUGGCGAAGGCGGCGACCUGGUCCUUGACUGACGCUGAGGCGCGAAAGCGUGGGGAGCAAAUAGG
This 253-nucleotide ribosomal RNA is filed under the name uncultured bacterium. RNAcentral's name for it is "partial 16S ribosomal RNA". It matches the Rfam family "Bacterial small subunit ribosomal RNA", at positions 524 to 776 of the family's 1533-position model. The record is from RNAcentral.